RNAcentral lists this transfer RNA (91 nucleotides) under Dichotomopilus funicola. Its description in RNAcentral is "tRNA-Phe". It matches the Rfam family "tRNA". From Rfam's summary of the family: Transfer RNA (tRNA) molecules are approximately 80 nucleotides in length. RNAcentral also lists the same sequence under 1 other name. Lineage: Eukaryota; Fungi; Ascomycota; Sordariomycetes; Sordariales; Chaetomiaceae. The record is from RNAcentral.
GCGGGUUUAGCUCAGUUGGGAGAGCGUCAGACUGAAGAAAAACUUCGGAAAGUAAAUCUGAAGGUCAUGUGUUCGAUCCACAUAAACCGCA